UACGUAGGGGGCAAGCGUUGUCCGGAAUCAUUGGGCGUAAAGAGCGUGUAGGCGGUCCGGUAAGUCGGCUGUGAAAGUCCAGGGCUCAACCCUGGGAUGCCGGUCGAUACUGCCGGACUAGAGUUCGGAAGAGGCGAGUGGAAUUCCCGGUGUAGCGGUGAAAUGCGCAGAUAUCGGGAGGAACACCAAUGGCGAAGGCAGCUCGCUGGGACGUUACUGACGCUGAGACGCGAAAGCGUGGGGAGCAAACAGG
This 253-nucleotide ribosomal RNA is filed under the name uncultured bacterium. RNAcentral describes it as "partial 16S ribosomal RNA". It matches the Rfam family "Bacterial small subunit ribosomal RNA", at positions 524 to 776 of the family's 1533-position model. The record is from RNAcentral.